Molecule: long non-coding RNA, 1751 nt
Organism: Phragmites australis (common reed)
Lineage: Eukaryota; Viridiplantae; Streptophyta; Magnoliopsida; Poales; Poaceae
Exons: 3
Source: RefSeq, a predicted model, not a curated record
UUGGCUGGUGUACCCGAACGUUGAAUGGUUGGAUGCGGAAGAAGUACUGUAGACCCUUCUCCCACGUCAAGUAUCUAGAGUGUUCGUUCCUACCCGAUAUACACUCCUGGUCAGAAAAAUUUGGUCAGAUCGGCACCAGGAGUCACACCACCAUGCUCAUCUCCCUACUGAACCCCGUCGAGAGCUCCAUACAUUCUCGUCCCGUCCCACCGCUGAGAUUUAGACAACGCCACCAAGUUUGUGAAAAUAGCACUAUCACUUACACACGCUGUAUAAAUGAGCAGUACUACAAAUUGUUCAAAGGGAACUAGCAACAGGAAGUGAUUAAAUCAAAGGUUCUAUUUUUAUCACUGAUACUCCCGGCGGAGAGUACUAUUGACCAGCAUUGUUGACUCACUGUUGGUUUCAUAGCCUUGCAUCCAAGUAACUAGAAUUUUAGAGAAUAAUUUUUUCGUGUAUAAAAAAAGGUUGAACUUAAGUUUAUUAUCAGUUUUUCACCUUUUGUUUUCCUUGAAACAACUUGGCAGACUUGCACAAUCUAUAUUUUUGCCCUUAGAGUUCAUGCAAAAGUUUAAAGCAUCGGAUUUCCCAGGUCCUAUAGAGUAUCGAGCUUGGGAGAUUACUGAUGCAUUUCUAAAACUAAAUUUUUUGUAACCAAUAUCGUGUUUCAUACUAACUAUAUCACAUUGUGAGUGGCUGAUACAUUGAUCACUGCAAGCUUUGAUCAAAUUAUAUUCUUGGUUCUAUAUGUCCAGAACGCAACGCACGAUCAACAUUUUGUGAAAUAUUAUCUAUAUGAACUAGUAGUUUAUUAGACUUUAUAUGUUCAAUUGUUCAUGCCCAUUAUUUUAUCAAACGAGAGCGCAGCAACGCUGCGCUGCAUUUCUAGUAUAUUUCCAACUCGAGGUAUUAUACAUUUGGAUGAAAGCAGCAAGGAUAGGUCACAAGUUAAAUUGAUGUGAAAAGCCAUUUAAUCAACAUAUGGUGUGAGCAACUAACAUAAAUUAACAAAAUAUGCUAUCCUCACAUGAUAACAUGUACAUAAACAUAGCCAACACGCAAACAUACUCUUCUCAACAUAACACAUAUAAGAACCAUCUCCUAACAUCCCACAUCCAGCCAUACAAAAAACUGAAUGUAACUUUAUGAUUGAUGUCCAAUGGAUAUUAAGUAUGCUUAUGACCAAGAGUGUGGCUAUUCGAAUAGCUUUUACACCUUGCAGGGAAGUACAUCUUUACCCAUAUGAUGAUGAAAGUAUACCCGAUCUUCCAAAAGGUGUGAGAUACGUUGAUUGGUGGAGUUUGACGUUGACGAUCCAAAGGCUCUGAUCAUGAUAGAUCGAGAACCCUAACAACCACUACAUCACUACUCCGUGUUUAUCAACUGUGCCAAACGCGAUUGACCUCACCAAGAAGGCUUUCAUGCAUGCAAAUCGAGAACACAAGAAAAACACGGUAGAUACAAUCUGAAUAUUGCUAAUUACCGAUGAAGAACUCAAAUUGGGGUUCCAUAAACUGAUAUUCAGUGAAACUGUCUAAAAUAGAAUAAUCUAAGCAAAAUUCAAGUCUAAAGUAUGAUGGCUACUAAAUAUAUAUGAGGGAGACAUGAUGAGUUUAACCUAGAGUUAUGCGGCUGUAGGGAGGACACGACCUGGGCUUGGACCCUGACAAGCUUACAAGUCCUGACAUGGCCCAAAACGGUGAUGCAAUACCUUAUUUCGACUAUGAUUGAUUUUCAAGGAAUCUAAGAGU